UUUCUGUUUUUAUUUGACUUUUGAUUAUUGUCCUUGGAGUAUUUCAUUUCUUCUUUUGUUUAAGAAACCGAUAUUGAGAUUGCAAUGUCGGUGUCAGCUGAAAUUUCGAGCUGCUAAACGUUCCUUCGCGAUAGUUGCCAUGUUUGCGGCACUCAUUGAUACAUUUUUAGUAUCAAUAACUGUCGCAUGUGAAGUUUAUCACCGAUUCAGUACAAUUAUAACCACAGGCA
Molecule: long non-coding RNA, 230 nt
Filed under: Mytilus galloprovincialis (Mediterranean mussel)
Lineage: Eukaryota; Metazoa; Mollusca; Bivalvia; Mytilida; Mytilidae
Source: RNAcentral